Molecule: long non-coding RNA, 785 nt
Organism: Amaranthus tricolor (Joseph's coat)
Lineage: Eukaryota; Viridiplantae; Streptophyta; Magnoliopsida; Caryophyllales; Amaranthaceae
Exons: 3
Source: RefSeq, a predicted model, not a curated record
AUUUUCUAAAAAAAAAAAAUUUCUUCACUCUCAUUUACUUCAAAUAUACAAUUCCUCUCAUUCAACUAAACUAAUCAACUACAUUCCCAUCCUUUCCUUGUGUAGUAGAUCAUUUUCAUCCUCAUUUAAGAAUAUGAAUCAUUAUCCCGUUAUAGUGUAUUGGGGUGGGGAAGUAAGUUAUACUGGAUCCGAUGUUGGGUAUAAUGGAGGAUUAAAUACAGUGAUGUUUAUCCAUCGUCAAAAUACGACUUUUGAGGUGUUUCUUAGCAAAGUCUAUGAUGUAAUUGGUUGUGAUCGCAACCCUUUUAUGUUAAAAAUGGAGAUGAAAUACCCGGUGACUUUUGAGGUGUUUGUUAGCAAAGACUUUCAUGCCUGUUCCAGACAUGUUCACCUGCGAUCCUUGGAACGGUCCUACAGUUGUUCCAGAUCCUUCAACGAAGCAUGGAAAGGGUUGUCCGCGAUCAACUCGUAUACGGAACGAAAUGGAUGCACCGUUGACGCGUCCUCGUAAUACGUGUAGCUUUCGUGGAUUUAGUGGUCAUAAUAAGAAAACAUGCCCUCGAAGGUCAACAAACGAUCAUGGCGAUGCCGAGCCCAGUUGAUCCAUCAGUGCUUACGCUUCAGACAACACACGGGAGCAUAGCUGCGUGGGAGGGCUCCACUGCCCAAUUAGUUACUCAUCCACCGAUGCGCAAAACAAAAGGGGCCGAGGGUUGUAGUGUAACAAACUUUGUAUAUUCUUAUAUGAUUUGAACUUCUUGUAUGACUUUCCAUGAUUAUAAUAU